UACGUAAGGUCCAAGCGUUAUCCGGAAUUACUGGGCGUAAAGCGUCUGUAGGCGGCGCAGUAAGUUAGGUGCGAAAUCUCGCGGCUCAACCGUGUAGACUGUGCUUAAAACUACUGUGCUCGAGGUUGGUAGAGGCAAGUGGAACUUCCGGUGUAACAGUGACAUGUGUAGAUAUCGGAAAGAACACCAAUGGCGAAGGCAGCUUGCUGGGCCACACCUGACGCUCAGAGACGAAAGCGUGGGGAGCGAACGGG
RNAcentral lists this ribosomal RNA (254 nucleotides) under uncultured bacterium. RNAcentral's name for it is "partial 16S ribosomal RNA". It matches the Rfam family "Bacterial small subunit ribosomal RNA", at positions 524 to 776 of the family's 1533-position model. The record is from RNAcentral.